UUCUAUCUCACUGAUUCCCAGUGAGAUAAAUGAAGACAGAUUCUUCUCCUGGGUUCAUUUCAAUGUUUUAUCUGUCAGUGUGAACUAGAAGCAGCUCCACAGAGAUGAAAACAGCCGCAGAGACUCUGAGCGGAGCUAACGAUGCUAACAGGCUCCAGCAGCAGCUUCAGAGGAGCUGUGGCUCCUAAACUGGAGCUUCAGCUCCAACAGAGCUGAAUCAAAGCUCUACAACUCUGGUUUAGACGAUAAGAUGCUGAGCUUCCGGUCUGAAGAUCAGCCUCCAUUUUGAGCUGCAGGAUGGAAAUAACUUGCUGACUUGUUACUAGAGGACAGUUACUGGAACCGGAUCACUGGACUGACUGGUUCUGGUUUCUCUCUCCAAAAGGCCAGAAGAUGAAAGAUGGGUAUCAGUCCAUCUAUGAGGAGUGACCGGUCCAAAGAUCAUCCUCUAUACUUCAGUAAUGAACCUGAACCAUCAGACAGAAAGAGCUGUGAGUGUGAAGAAAGACCCAGAACAGGAGCUGAACGGCCGAC
Long non-coding RNA from Xiphophorus hellerii (green swordtail), 534 nucleotides. RefSeq lists it as uncharacterized. The record is from RefSeq and is a predicted model, not a curated record. Lineage: Eukaryota; Metazoa; Chordata; Actinopteri; Cyprinodontiformes; Poeciliidae. The transcript has 4 exons.